GAUGAACGCUGGCGGCGUGCCUAAUACAUGCAAGUCGAGCGAACAGACGAGGAGCUUGCUCCUCUGACGUUAGCGGCGGACGGGUGAGUAACACGUGGAUAACCUACCUAUAAGACUGGGAUAACUUCGGGAAACCGGAGCUAAUACCGGAUAAUAUAUUGAACCGCAUGGUUCAAUAGUGAAAGACGGUUUUGCUGUCACUUAUAGAUGGAUCCGCGCCGCAUUAGCUAGUUGGUAAGGUAACGGCUUACCAAGGCGACGAUGCGUAGCCGACCUGAGAGGGUGAUCGGCCACACUGGAACUGAGACACGGUCCAGACUCCUACGGGAGGCAGCAGUAGGGAAUCUUCCGCAAUGGGCGAAAGCCUGACGGAGAAACGCCGCGUGAGUGAUGAAGGUAUUCGGAUCGUAAAACUCUGUUAUUAGGGAAGAACAAAUGUGUAAGUAACUAUGCACGUCUUGACGGUACCUAAUCAGAAAGCCACGGCUAACUACGUG
RNAcentral lists this ribosomal RNA (497 nucleotides) under uncultured bacterium. RNAcentral's name for it is "partial 16S ribosomal RNA". It matches the Rfam family "Bacterial small subunit ribosomal RNA", at positions 28 to 507 of the family's 1533-position model. The record is from RNAcentral.